Non-coding RNA from Homo sapiens (human), 145 nucleotides. It matches the Rfam family "Metazoan signal recognition particle RNA". Rfam says of the family: The signal recognition particle (SRP) is a universally conserved ribonucleoprotein. It is involved in the co-translational targeting of proteins to membranes. The record is from Rfam. Lineage: Eukaryota; Metazoa; Chordata; Mammalia; Primates; Hominidae.
GCUGGGCAUGGUGGCGCAUGCCUGUAAUCCCAGGUACGUGGGAGGCUGAGGCAGGAGAAUCGCUUGAACCCAGGAGGUGGAGGUUGCAGUGAGCUAUCACGCCACUGCACUCCAGCCUGAGCCACAGAGCAAGACUCUGUCUCAA